UACGUCGGGGGCAAGCGUUGUCCGGAAUCAUUGGGCGUAAAGAGCGUGUAGGCGGCCAGAUAAGUCCGCUGUGAAAUCUCGAGGCUCAACUUCGAGCUGUCGGUGGAAACUGUCUGGCUAGAGUCCGGAAGAGGAGAAUGGAAUUCCUGGUGUAGCGGUGAAAUGCGCAGAUAUCAGGAAGAACACCCGUGGCGAAGGCGGUUCUCUGGGACGGUACUGACGCUGAGACACGAAGGUCAGGGGAGCAAACGGG
This 253-nucleotide ribosomal RNA is filed under the name uncultured bacterium. Its description in RNAcentral is "partial 16S ribosomal RNA". It matches the Rfam family "Bacterial small subunit ribosomal RNA", at positions 524 to 776 of the family's 1533-position model. The record is from RNAcentral.